GAAACUUAAAGCAUCGUUCUUAAUUAUUAUUCCUUAUUUUUCGCGCAAUUUUCUAAGAAAAAAAUUGUUAUUUUAUAAAAUCGGUCACGAUUACAAAUUCGGUAAAGAAAGUUAGAAUAAUUUAGAAUGAAAAUUUAUGUAUUAGAUUCUAGUAUUUAUUUAUAUCAAAAAAGUGAUACAUAAAAAAGUGAUACGUUCUAAAAAUCAUAUAAAUUUUAUUACGACAAAUUUUUGAUGAAAAAAUUUUAUUCACAUUUUUAUUCCUAUAUAUCUUGCUAACUCAUGAGAUAAUGCGAUUGGAGAAAUAAGCAGACACGUUACAAUAUGUGUGAAAGCUUCAUCAGCCGAUGGAGAAAAUCUGAUUAAUGGAUUUCGUAUUCUCACGCCAUUAGCAACAUUCGGACAGGACAGAUUCCACUAAUGAUCGAACAUCAUCGCUCAAAAUGAGUCAGAAUACGAUAGAUUUUAACGAAAAGUGAAUUCUUCAUAAAUUGAUUUGAUUGAGUUGCAUUUUUAACUCGAUCGAAAGCAAUAAGAUCGUGAAAUAAGCGACAGAGGAUAUUCACGAAUGCACAGUUAAUUGUUUAGAAUUGUAUACAGACGUGUGUCGUUUAGUUUAUAUUAUUUUGGAUUUCGAUACGAUGACGCAAGUGAUAUUGCAUUAUCAUUUCUCAGCCCAUAAUGUGAUAGAUCGCUAAUCCAGUUGAAUAAAAUUUGAAAUAAGCAAUUAAAUUAUAUUUAUAUUAUCAUUUAAUUUAUUUA
Molecule: long non-coding RNA, 762 nt
Organism: Apis mellifera (honey bee)
Lineage: Eukaryota; Metazoa; Arthropoda; Insecta; Hymenoptera; Apidae
Exons: 3
Source: RefSeq, a predicted model, not a curated record